UGUCCAUGAGAGACAAAAGUGCUUAUAAAGUUAAGCAUAUUUUCCCUUUUGUUUUUGUUUUUUUUGCCUCCCUCCCAGGCCCGCCAACUUGUUGUUGGACAGAAGCAGCUCGGAGGUUCCCCCGAUGGGAACGAUGGGCGACUGGAUGGACGGGAUGAGGACCUUGCCCUGCAACGAGGCCUUCUCCGGGGUCAGCUACAGCUCCUGUGACACGCUGGCCAAGACUUCCACAGAUAGAGUGAUUCUGACAGAGGUCCACGUCACUCCAGCAACUUGCCCGGAGUGGGAGCCGUCCAUGGGGAUCACCACUCUCUAGCCGCCGCUCGCUCUUCUUUCCAUUCCUCGGACUCUGGAUGGGAUUUGAAGAAGGUCGGAGUGACAAUCGCGGGACCACAGAAGAAGAUCGUGAGCAGCCUCAAAGCCCUGGAAUCGCACGCCAAGAACGGCCCGGUACCUGUUUAAAAUGAACGACCAAACGGCGGGAGAGCGCUUCUACGCCGACCGCGUAUCCAUCGUCACGGCGGCUGAGGAGAAAUUAAUCAAACGAGGGCUUUUUUUUUUUUUUUUACGGGACGAGACAAAGUCCUGGCAGUGAGAAGGGAGAAAGGUCCGACUGAUCCAUGCUGGAGUUGAGAUGCCUUACAGACACAUGCAGGAGCCCAGGACUAGGUUGCUGGACGCCAUCGGGGGACGCUCGCCGGUCCCGGCACGGACAGCCGCCCCCAGCGUGGACCCCUACUGGAGUCUUUGUCUGCACAUGAACUCAAUUUUGUCCCGUAGAGCCGUCACAUGAAAGCAAUAAACCUGGUGGUGGUGGUAGCCACGGUGCAGGUACAGGGCGCAAUAACACCUUUCACACUCGACUUUAUACCACGUAUAUGUGCCCUUCCAUGUGGUGUUUGUGUCAGCCCGGAGACCUUUUGUGGGGAACAACGAUCCCAUCGAUAUUUUCUCCGACAAGCGGAAACGUGAGGUGAAGAAAGCAGAGGACCGGAAACUCUUAAAGGGGUCUUAUUAUAAUUGUUUUUCUACAAAAAACAACACCAGUGAAGUCGGCACGCUGUGUAAAGGGUGAAUAAAAAGAGAACACAACGAAUCCUUUUCAACUUAUAUUCAAUUAAAUAGACUGCAAAGACAAGAUAUUUCAUGUUUACUCUAGAAAACGUAAUUAUGUUCACACUGAGACACUUAUUGUAUUAUCAUUAUCUUAGAAUUUAAUGGCAGCAACACAUUGCAAAAAAGACAUUUUUACCACUGUGUUACAUGGCCUUUCCUUUUAACAACACUCAGUAAAGGUUUGGGAACUGAGGAGACACAUUUUGGAAGUGGAAUUCUUUCCCAUUCUUGCUUGAUGUACACACCAGUCUAAUACCCACACUCUUACUAUGAAGCCACGCUGUUGUAACACGUGGCUUGGCAUUGUCUUGCUGAAAUAAGCAGGGGCGUCCAUGAUAACGUUGCUUGGAUGGCAACAUAUGUUGCUCCAAAAGCUGUAUGUACCUUUCAGCAUUAAUGGCGCCUUCACAGAUGUGUAAGUUACCCAUGUCUUGGGCACUAAUACACCCCCAUACCAUCACACAUGCUGCCUUUUCCACUUUGCGCCUAGAACAGUCCAGAGGAUUCUUUUCCUUUUCGGUCCGGAGGACACGACGUCCACAGUCUCCAAAAACAAUUUGAAAUGUGGACUCGUCAGACCACAGAACACUUUUCCACUUUGCAUCAGUCCGUCUUAGAUGAGCUCGGGCCCAGCGAAGCCGGCGGCGUGUCUGGGUGUUGUUGAUAAAUGGGAUUUUCAAAUAAUUGUAUUCUAUUUUUAUUUACCCUUUACACAACAUGCCAACUUCACUGAUUUUGGGUUCUGUACAUGUAAAACCCUUCUUUGAGGUAUGUAUCAGGGGUUAUUUACCUUUUUGACACCGGGGCCCAAUUUUCCCACUACAAAUAUUAACGCUGAAUUAGUAAUUUUGCUCUUGAUUUGAAUCAGAUUCGAUAAUUAAAUCUAACGUACGUACAGUUUAACAGAACAAAGCUUGUCGCAUGAUAUACAAGCGUGUGCUAAUCACAAAUAUUUGUAAGACUUAGGUCAGGCUGAUUACAAAAUACUGUAAAGAAUAAUCCAAUAUGCUGCAAAAGAAGAGAAAACUGAUGAAAAAUGAAAGUAUAUACAAUUAAUUUCUGCUAAAAUACAUGCAUUCAAACUAAAUUAAUACGUAAUAAUGUGUCUGUUUUUUAAAGCCCCAAUUAAGUACUUUUAGUUUUGGUGGAGUUUUGCCUGAAGGAAGACCGCGUUGAGGACCAGUGCAUAGCGUGCUAAAUGGUCCGAAACUACAGUCAUGUACAUACAAACUGACACGACAACCACAAUGAUCCAGUAAGACUGAUCUUUCCAUAUUUUACCCCAACUUUAUGUUUGCGGUUUGCAGUCAUCGCAUUUUCUUUCUUUAUGAAGUAUUUUUUCAGUUUGUUGCCCGGCUGCUCGUAUCAAACUGGUGGAUAUUUAUUACUACCACGCACAUUUCCGAUAGCUAACAUUAGCGUUAUGAAAUGAACCAAAUAUGAGUGAUAUUGUUAUUACAAGCGCUAACGCAGGCGGACUAUUUAUUGUUGACACACUGCUGCUUCUGCUUGGUCUCAAACCUGCUAAAAGUAAAGGGAUUAUAAUUCCUGCAUCUUUACAUGCUAGUAGAAACAAACGUGGCCAUGGACCGACAGGCCGGUCCACUUUCACGCCCCCCGUGAUCGUGAAAAAGACAAACAAAGAUGCUAGUUGCAGCAAAUGUUUUAUUAACCCUUCGUGAGGAUUGCGAUUGAAUCUUCAUCUAAACGGAAUUAUGUGAGCGUCCCGUCGGUCGGCAUCCCAGCAAGAGUGAAAAUAUUACAGUUACUUUUUGGUUAGUUUUCAUGUUUAGCAUCUAUCAACACUGCUAAUGCUAUAGUGUCGCAAUAUAGCUACAUCCGUUUAGCACUCGGCUUCUAAAACGUAUUGCUCGUCCUCUUUGUAUUCGGGCUCAAAAAUAUCUGGAUGAUAAUUUUCCCCAAAGUAAUCGUUGUUGGCUCUCACAGAGUCUGCUUGAUUAGCAUUGUUGUCGAUGGGGAAGGGAUCUGUGGUUCCUCCUCUACGUCUCGCGAUCCUCAUUAACCCUCAAAAUGGCUCGGGAAUCUCCGUGAGAUUGAUACUAUUUUGAUCAUAUCUAUUUAUCGGGAAACUUUCGAAGUCAUAAAUCCGACAAAUACGGUAAUACUUCAACAUUGAGACAACUUGUUUUUCCACUCUACUGCCACUUUAAAUUCCAAACAGCUCAUUUAAAGCACGUUUGGGAGAAACUUGCUUGUCUUGCUUUCACGGUUUGAUUUCUAAUUUUGGGGACUUAUGCAGAUCCCAAAUGAGGUACCCACAAGGACAUAAUAGGACCCCUUUAAGAGAAACGCUGGAAAAGAGAAACCGUGUUUGUCACACCUUUCCUUCAGACAUUUUAUUUCCCAAUGGAUGUUUUUGUUGUUGUUGUUUUCCCGCAGGUGUGUUUGUACUUUUUUUUUCCAAUUCAGCAUCCACGCACACAAGUCCUAGUCAGUAGGCCGGGACCUCCUCUAUAGGCCGAAAUCAGACAUUACAAACAUAAGCCACGGGUAUACAGUACAGGCCAAAAGUUUGGACACACCUUCUCCUCAUUCAAUGCGUUUUCUUUAUUUCCAUGACUAUUUACAUUGUAGAUUGUCACAUCAAAACUACGAAUGAACACACGUGGAGUUUUGUACUUAAAAAAAUAUAGUUGAAAUAACUAAAAACAUGUUUUAUAUUCUAGUUUCUUCAAAAUAGCCACCUUUUGCUCUGAUCACUGCUUGUUACUGUAAAGGAGUGUGUUUGUAUGCCGGACAUCAAACUUCUGGCUGUUUUAAUUCGACCAUAUUAUUUGCCAAGAGAGUUUACGUCUGUAAUCUUCAUCGAAGUGUACAUCCCUCCUUCUGCAGACGAGGCUGCUGCUUGCUAGGCAACAGACCAAACACCCCGAUGCCGUCGUUCUCACUUCGGGUGACUCUAAUCAUGCGUCUUUGGACUCAGUUUUACUUUAAAAUGAACAAUUUCCCUUAUGGAUCAUUAAAGUUGGUGUAAGUCUAACUGAAAUCAUGCUAUAUAUUCUAUUGUUUUCAAAAUAGCCACCCUUUGCGCCGACUACUUUUCCGCACGCUCUUGGCAUUCUCUCCAUGAGCUUCAAGAUGGAGUCACCAGGAAAUUGUUUUCACUUCCCAUGUGUGCUUGAAGCUUAUCGAGAGAAUGCCAGGAGUGUGCAAAGCAGUAGUCGGAACUAAAGGGUGGCUAUUUUGAAGAAACUAGUGUAUACAACUUGUUUUCAGUUAUUUCACCUUUGUCUGUUAAGUGAUCGUGAAAAAGACGCGAGUUGCAGCAACUUCUUUUUUAACCCUUUGUGAGGAUUGUGAUUGAUUCUUCAUCUAAACGGAAUCCCGGUCGGCAUCCCAGUGAGAGUGGAAAUAUUACAGCGCGUGUUUGUUUUAUUAUGGUAUAUUAUGGUUAGUUUGCAUUUUUUAGCACUUAGCAACAAUGCUAAUUCUAUAGCAGGGGUCACCAACAUUUUUGAAACCAAGAGCUACUUCUUGGGUAGUGAUUAAUGCGAAGGGCUACCAGUUUGAUACACACUUAAAUAAAUUGCCAGAAAUAGCUAAUUUGCUCAAUUUACCUAUAACUCUAUGUUAUUAUUAAUUAUUAAUGAUAUUCACACUUAAUUGAACGGUUUUAAAGAGGAGAAAACACGAAAAAAAUGACAAUUACAUUUUGAAACAUAGUUUAUCUUCAAUUUCGACUCUUUAAAAUUCAAAAUUCAACCGAAAAAAAGAAGAGAAAAACUAGCUAAUUCGAAUCUUUUUGAAAAAAUUAUAAAACUAAUUUAUGGAACAUCAUUAGUAAUUUUUCCUGAUUAAGAUUAAUUUUAGAAUUUUGAUGACAUGUUUUAAAUAGGUUAAAAUCCAAUCUGCACUUUGUUAGAAUAUAUA
Entelurus aequoreus (snake pipefish) is the source of this 5007-nucleotide long non-coding RNA. RefSeq lists it as uncharacterized. The transcript is spliced from 3 exons. The record is from RefSeq and is a predicted model, not a curated record. Lineage: Eukaryota; Metazoa; Chordata; Actinopteri; Syngnathiformes; Syngnathidae.